Acanthosepion pharaonis is the source of this 111-nucleotide non-coding RNA. The record is from the annotation of a GenBank genome assembly. NCBI's taxonomy places the organism in Eukaryota, Metazoa, Mollusca, Cephalopoda, Sepiida, Sepiidae.
CGGUCAAAUCAAGUUGAAUCACCGGUUCCCGUACGAUCACCGAAUUUAAGCUACGUCGAGUUUGGUCAGUACCUAGAUAGGUGAGCCCUUGCGAAUACAAAGUGCUGUAAG